Molecule: ribosomal RNA, 445 nt
Filed under: uncultured bacterium
Lineage: Bacteria
Description: bacterial SSU rRNA
Rfam family: Bacterial small subunit ribosomal RNA
Source: RNAcentral
ACUCCUACGGGAGGCAGCAGUGGGGAAUAUUGCACAAUGGGCGCAAGCCUGAUGCAGCCAUGCCGCGUGUGUGAAGAAGGCCUUCGGGUUGUAAAGCACUUUCAGUCGUGAGGAAGGUAGUGUAGUUAAUAGCUUUAGCUUGACUUUUUGAACGUUAGCGAACAGAAGAAGCACCGGCUAACUCCGUGCCAGCAGCCGCGGUAAUACGGAGGGUGCGAGCGUUAAUCGGAAUUACUGGGCGUAAAGCGCAUGCAGGUGGUUUGUUAAGUCAGAUGUGAAAGCCCGGGGCUCAACCUCGGAAUUGCAUUUGAAACUGGCAGACUAGAGUACUGUAGAGGGGGGUAGAAUUUCAGGUGUAGCGGUGAAAUGCGUAGAGAUCUGAAGGAAUACCGGUGGCGAAGGCGGCCCCCCUGGACAGAUACUGACACUCAGAUGCGAAAAGCGU